Molecule: long non-coding RNA, 2291 nt
Organism: Macadamia integrifolia
Lineage: Eukaryota; Viridiplantae; Streptophyta; Magnoliopsida; Proteales; Proteaceae
Exons: 7
Source: RefSeq, a predicted model, not a curated record
UAGCAAAAAAAUAAUUUAAUGGAGCUCAGGCCAACUGACGGACAAUAAUGCUGAGGGAAAUGGAGAGUUUAGGAGUGUAGGAGAAAGGAGGGUUUUGAAAUCAGGGACACGUCUUCACCUUUUACAUACACCUUCAAACCGAGUUACAUUCUAUUGAUUGAUAGUAUAUGAGAAAUUACUACACCCAUAGUUGAAUCCAGUCCCAAUUGAUACUUAUCGAAUCUGGAUUGGUAUCGAUUGAUCCCAAGUUUUAUAACCUUGAUCGUGAGUCUUUUAACAUUCUAUGGUGAUCUAUUUCACAUUCUAUGUCUAUGAGCAUAGUCCAUGCCGUCUGAUCCUCCGGUCCUGAUUUUCAGAUAUGCCUUGAUUUGCUCUAUUAAUCUGCUAGUCGAAGGCUUGAGGUGGAACACUUGAAAAAAUUGUUUAUACGGACUUUGGUGAUAAUUUAUCUUCUGGUGGUAUAAAUCUAGGGAACAGUGGUUGCUAUUUAAAUCACCUUAUUUUCUGCCUUAAAAGGACUUCAUCACCUCAACUUAUCUUAUAAUGCAUUUGAUGAUUGGAUCCAAAAUGAAGGUAUAUAUUUAUUAUAUACUCAUUCAUGAUCACUCUUUUCGCCUUCCAAAAAAUUUAGUAUUUCUUCCUUUUCUUUCUCUUCUAAAGCCAUGGCUUGACCUGAUGAUGUAUGGAUGGAUGGAUUGUUAUCUUUAGUUUCUUUUUUUUUUUCUUUCCAUCUAGCAUCACAGUUAUGUUGCUGUAUCCCUUCAUUUAUGCCUUUCUUUUCUUAUCAUGGAGUAAGCCAGGUUGGAGUGCCAUGCCACUGUUACCACCAAAUCUCCAGCCCAAUCACUCGAGAGGCCUGGCUCGGUUAGGAUCAGAACAACCGUCGCAAAAAACGUGGUCGGUCAAGGGGAUUAUUGGCUAUACGGACUGUUAUGAAAUUGAAAUUGAUUAAAAAAAAUGGGUAUCCAAUGGAUGGACUUCAGGCUUGAAUUAAAAGAAAGAUAUGAUAAAUCAACCACGAUUGAUGAGUGCUUUGCAAAACGUGAUUUCCGUAUUCCAUUGAAUCAAUGGAAAGACUUUAUAGCUAUGUGGAGUGAUGUCAAGUGUAAGGAAAUUUUUUCACGGAAUAAAGAAAAUAGAAAGAAACAGAAAAUUAGUCACACUGCGGGCCGACAGAGUUUUGCCCAAGUUUAUGAUAAAAAUCUUUAGGAGACUGGUGAGGAAUCAUUUAUAGGUUCAUUUUUUCAAGUUAACACAUGCGAAAAAGAACUUGGAACUGGUUGAUGAUGAAUCAGGAAAAAAAGUGAUAUAUUGUGUUUUUCUAUUCAGUUACUUGUUUCUUGAUCAAUGCUGGUAACUUGCUGGGUUUGCAAUGAUUCGUAGAUAGAGAUGGAAGAGAAGUUAGUAGCGAUGCCAGUAGAAUUAUAAAAAAACACCGACUCAUGAAUCCAUUUGGACAGAAUCAUUUGGUGAGGAAUCCCAUGGCCGAGUGCGCCUUGUUGGAGUUGGGGUAAGCCUAAAAGACAUUGAUUUGUCGAAAAGUAAUGCUGCACUCAUCUAGAAGAACAAGGAGUUGCAAAAUAAAGCGGAGAUGUUAAGAGGAGAAGAUGGAAUUAGUAAAUGGAAAGCUUGAAGAAGAAAGGAAGAAGAAUGAAGAUGUGAUUAGCAAUAUGCAAUCACAAAUUGAAAAACUUACAGAUGGAAUUAGUAAAUGGAAAGCUUGAAAAAGAAAAGUAGAAGUAUGAAGAUGUGAUUAGCAAUAUGCAAUCACAAAUUGAAAAACUUACCCAACUCUUCAUGAUUAGAAACUCACAUGAUUCAGUGAAUCUAGGAAGUAACUAAUGGAGAAUUCAGCUUUUUUAUGAAUUGUAUACAUUUCCUACUGUUGGGUUGACAUGAUUGAGGUGAACUGCUAUUCUUCUAAGGAUUUAUGACGUAGAAAAUGUGGGCACCAUGCAAGCAGGAGAAGAGAGAGAUCUAAGGCAUUUACAAAUCAAAUGUGGUUCACAUUUCACAUGAUGAGAACAAUGUAUCUUACUGCUUUGAGUACAAAGGUUUCACUAUUUUUGUAUUGUUUUUUUUUUUUCUUUUGGCUUAAGCUUUAGAGAGCUGAGUUUGUUGAGCAAUAUUUUGAAAUGAUUCACAAUCAUUUCCUCUUUUGUCAAGACUUCUUGUUUAAUCUUUUUCCUUUUGUUUUUUUAUUUAUUUUUUGUUGGGUGAGUGUGGGAGAAUUAUAAUUGUCUAAAUCUAUGCAAAGAGACAGCAGGCUGGAAGAAUCUUAAGGUGGCCAA